Molecule: long non-coding RNA, 781 nt
Organism: Capsicum annuum
Lineage: Eukaryota; Viridiplantae; Streptophyta; Magnoliopsida; Solanales; Solanaceae
Exons: 2
Source: RefSeq, a predicted model, not a curated record
GAAAUACUUCAAUUUUUCAGUGAAGGAAAAUAUAAUUUUCUCAAGUAUUUCAACUAUUGAGAUUCAGUGUUUGCAAGUUGUACUGAUGAAUAAGCUUCGGCAGUUAUUGUCACUUCAUUUUGAAGAUCAUCAGGUCUUCUAGCAUAGAUAUUGCAAUUUUGAAGUAUGACUUUUGCGUUACCAAAUAUGAAGUCCACAGUACCAUAGACUUCACAAUCUCUGAAAAAUUGAACACCAUUUUUUGUGUAAAGUGUAUCUUGAUACCCAUCAAACUUGCAACGAUAGAACACAACGUGGUCAGCUGAAAUACUAGUCGCGACUGCUUGGUGCAUCGAUGGUCCAGCAGUGUUCUGGAAUGUGAUAUCUUGUGCUAUGAAUCCAUAGCCACUUAUAUCUGUUUUCAACCAAGAAGAAGAAGAUGAACAAGAAGAAGAAUAGAAUAUUAAUUUUAAGUGUAUAUCGCUUGUUGAACCCAUAGCCAUGUACUAUGGUCUGCUACAAAAACUUUUCACUUCUAUGAACUACAUUAUAAAUAAAAAUUUUGUAUCUAUUUACCUAAAAAAGAAAAAAAAAAUAAAAGAUAUAAGAGCCGGCAAAUCCACAUCUAUUGUAUAUGAAGUAUAAAGAUGCAUAUAAUGUAUAAUAUAUAAUAUGCAUGUGUACUAUUCUUUUUGGAAUAAGAUAGGUAGUAUAGGUAACUUAUGGUAAAAUAAACGGGCAAUGUGAAAUUCUUAAAAUUACUAGUUUUAAAAUUUAGCUUGACAAAUAUUUCAAGAUAUUA